UCCAGACUCCUACGGGAGGCAGCAGUGAGGAAUAUUGGUCAAUGGGCGCGAGCCUGAACCAGCCAAGUCGCGUGAGGGAUGACGGCCCUACGGGUUGUAAACCUCUUUUGUCGGGGAGCAAAUUCCGUUACGUGUAACGGAGUCGAGAGUACCCGAAGAAAAAGCAUCGGCUAACUCCGUGCCAGCAGCCGCGGUAAUACGGAGGAUGCGAGCGUUAUCCGGAUUUAUUGGGUUUAAAGGGUGCGUAGGCGGGCUGUUAGGUCAGCGGUAAAAUGUCGGGGCUCAACCCCGGCCUGCCGUUGAAACUGGCGGCCUCGAGUGGGCGAGAAGUAUGCGGAAUGCGUGGUGUAGCGGUGAAAUGCAUAGAUAUCACGCAGAACUCCGAUUGCGAAGGCAGCAUACCGGCGCCCAACUGACGCUGAAGCACGAAAGCGUGGGUAUCGAACAGGAUUAGAUACCCCAGUA
This 465-nucleotide ribosomal RNA is filed under the name uncultured bacterium. RNAcentral describes it as "bacterial SSU rRNA". It matches the Rfam family "Bacterial small subunit ribosomal RNA", at positions 330 to 792 of the family's 1533-position model. The record is from RNAcentral.